UACGUAGGGUGCGAGCGUUAAUCGGAAUUACUGGGCGUAAAGCGUGCGCAGGCUGUUUUGUAAGUCAGAUGUGAAAUCCCUGGGCUCAACCUAGGAACUGCGUUUUGAAACUACAAGGCUAGAGUGUAGCAGAGGGGGGUAGAAUUCCACGUGUAGCAGUGAAAUGCGUAGAGAUGUGGAGGAAUACCAAUGGCGAAGGCAGCCCCCUGGGUUAACACUGACGCUCAUGCACGAAAGCGUGGGGAGCAAACAGG
RNAcentral lists this ribosomal RNA (254 nucleotides) under uncultured bacterium. Its description in RNAcentral is "partial 16S ribosomal RNA". It matches the Rfam family "Bacterial small subunit ribosomal RNA", at positions 524 to 776 of the family's 1533-position model. The record is from RNAcentral.